Molecule: ribosomal RNA, 256 nt
Filed under: uncultured archaeon
Lineage: Archaea
Description: partial 16S ribosomal RNA
Rfam family: Bacterial small subunit ribosomal RNA
Source: RNAcentral
UAAGACGAACCGUACGAACGUUAUUCGGAAUUACUGGGCUUAAAGGGUGCGUAGGCUGCGCAGUAAGUUGGGUGUGAAAUCCCUCGGCUUAACCGAGGAACUGCGCCCAAAACUACUGUGCUCGAGGGAGACAGAGGUGAGCGGAACUUAGGGUGGAGCGGUGAAAUGCGUUGAUAUCCUAAGGAACACCCGUGGCGAAAGCGGCUCACUGGGUCUCUUCUGACGCUGAGGCACGAAAGCUAGGGUAGCGAACGGG